CCUAUCUAAAUUAGCUAAACAAUUAAAACCAGAAAAAUCUAUUUUCUAUUGAAUAUUAAAUAGUUGUUUCAAUAAUUGCCUCUUGCGAGUGUUGAUGUGACCAUAUAGAGAUUUGUUCCACCCUUGUAGAUUCUUAGUGAACUGAACGAGUGCAUCAGACAUGUUACCAUUAAAUCUCCAAUUUUCUUGUACAAAAUCAUCAAAUUUUGGAUGCUCAACCUACCUUGCCAAGAAGUGAAAAAGUCGUCCUCCCCUAGGCAAAUUGAUCUCUGGCCCUAUAGAGAAAAAAAAAGGCCUAUGGUCAGAUUUAAUUUUUGAGAGAUGUGUUACAAGCUAUUGGGAAAAAAGUUUAUCCAAGAUCAUUACCCAAUGCUCGGUCUAAUCUUUCAAAAAGACCACAUCUAUACAAAGUAAAUGGUGGCCUCCUAAAACCCAAGUCAUGUAAACCACCUCAAUCCAUAAAAUCAACGAAGUAAGGGCACCUCCUCCCACUAGACAAAUUGCCUUUUUUUCUUAGUAGGGGAUAGAAUGGCGUUGAAGUCUCCAAUCACCAUUCAAGGAACUAAACUCGUAGGAAUAAACUAUCUCAACUCCUUCCACAUGCAAUUUCACUUCUUUCGAUCUUGGCUACCAUAAGUAAAAGACAUUAAAAUCGACGUUAAGGAUCGAUAGGAAUGUACCUGUACCACAAUAAAUUGGGGGUGAUUCCACAGCACCUCAACCUGAACCGAAUCCUUUCAGCCAAGCUAGAUACCCUAGCGAAACCUAUCGCUUCCACUCUGUGAGACUUUUGAAAACCCAAUUUCACAUUAAUAAUUUCUGCUUUUACUCCACUAACCUUGGUUUCAAGUAAGCUAACAAUAUCCAACUUAUAUUUCAUAUUAUACUAAUGAAAAAUAUGGGAGAAUUUUUAACUAGCACAGCCUUGGCAAUUCGAAGAAAAAAUUGAGAUAUUCAUGAAUAAAAAAACAACAAAUAGAGGAAAUACCAUUACUGUUGAAAAGCUAAAAAUCCUUCCUCUCAU
This 1024-nucleotide long non-coding RNA is filed under the name Gossypium raimondii (Peruvian cotton). RNAcentral's name for it is "long non-coding RNA (GRAI_LNC004089)". Lineage: Eukaryota; Viridiplantae; Streptophyta; Magnoliopsida; Malvales; Malvaceae. The record is from RNAcentral.